This 253-nucleotide ribosomal RNA is filed under the name uncultured bacterium. RNAcentral describes it as "partial 16S ribosomal RNA". It matches the Rfam family "Bacterial small subunit ribosomal RNA", at positions 524 to 776 of the family's 1533-position model. The record is from RNAcentral.
GACGGAGGAUGCAAGCGUUAUCCGGAAUGAUUGGGCGUAAAGCGUGCGCAGGCGGGCUUUUAAGUCAGGUGUGAAAUCCCCAGGCUUAACCUGGGAACUGCGUUUGGUACUGGAAAGCUAGAGUACGGCAGAGGUGGGUGGAAUUCCACGUGUAGCAGUGAAAUGCGUAGAGAUGUGGAGGAACACCGAUGGCGAAGGCAGCCCCCUGGGCCUGUACUGACGCUCAUGUACGACAGCGUGGGGAGCAAACAGG